Molecule: transfer RNA, 95 nt
Filed under: Thermodesulfobacteriota bacterium
Lineage: Bacteria; Pseudomonadati; Thermodesulfobacteriota
Description: tRNA-Sec
Rfam family: Selenocysteine transfer RNA
Source: RNAcentral
GGAAGUGGAAAGCUCACUGGUGGGGCUCCCGGACUUCAAAUCCGGUGUGACGGCCAAAAGCUGUCAGGUGGGUUCGAUUCCCAUGCACUUCCGCC